Molecule: ribosomal RNA, 301 nt
Filed under: uncultured bacterium
Lineage: Bacteria
Description: partial 16S ribosomal RNA
Rfam family: Bacterial small subunit ribosomal RNA
Source: RNAcentral
CAGCAGCCACGGUAAGACGUAGGGAGCGAGCGUUGUCCGGAAUUACUGGGCGUAAAGAGCUCGUAGGCGGGACCGUAAGUCCAAGAGGAAAUCUCAAGGCUCAACUUUGGGGCUUUCUUGGAUACUGCGGUUCUUGAGGAUAUCAGAGGAAAGUAGAAUUCCCGGUGUAGCGGUGAAAUGCGUAGAUAUCGGGAGGAAUACCAGUGGCGAAGGCGACUUUCUGGGAUAUUCCUGACGCUGAGGAGCGAAAGCGUGGGGAGCAAACGGGAUUAGAUACCCGGGUAGUCCCUGUCUCUUAUAC